ACAGGUAGAUGAGGAGAGAAUCCUAAGGUGAGCGAGAGAACUCUCGUUAAGGAACUCGGCAAAAUGACCCCGUAACUUCGGGAGAAGGGGUGCUCUAUUAGGGUGCAAGCCCGAGAGAGCCGCAGUGAAUAGGCCCAGGCGACUGUUUAGCAAAAACACAGGUCUCUGCAAAACCGUAAGGUGACGUAUAGGGGCUGACGCCUGCCCGGUGCUGGAAGGUUAAGAGGAGUGCUUAGCUUCGGCGAAGGUACGAAUUGAAGCCCCAGUAAACGGCGGCCGUAACUAUAACGGUCCUAAGGUAGCGAAAUUCCUUGUCGGGUAAGUUCCGACCCGCACGAAAGGCGCAACGAUCUGGGCACUGUCUCAACGAGAGACUCGGUGAAAUUAUAGUACCUGUGAAGAUGCAGGUUACCCGCGACAGGACGGAAAGACCCCGUGGAGCUUUACUGCAACCUGAUAUGGAAUGUUUGUACCGCUUGUACAGGAUAGGUAGGAGCCGAAGAGACGUGUGCGCUAGCAUACGAGGAGGCAAUGGUGGGAUACUACCCUGGCUGUAUGACCAUUCUAACCCGCCACGCUUAGCGCGUGGGGAGACAGUGUCAGGUGGGCAGUUUGACUGGGGCGGUCGCCUCCUAAAGAGUAACGGAGGCGCCCAAAGGUUCCCUC
This 666-nucleotide ribosomal RNA is filed under the name Listeria monocytogenes. RNAcentral's name for it is "partial 23S ribosomal RNA". It matches the Rfam family "Bacterial large subunit ribosomal RNA", at positions 1659 to 2323 of the family's 2925-position model. The record is from RNAcentral. Lineage: Bacteria; Bacillati; Bacillota; Bacilli; Caryophanales; Listeriaceae.